UGCGUAGGCGGAUUAAUAAGUCAGUGGUGAGAUCUCUCGGCUCAACCGGGAAACUGCCAUUGAUACUGUUAAUCUUGAGUUCGGUUGAGGUAGGCGGAAUGUGUAAUGUAGCGGUGAAAUGCUUAGAUAUUACACAGAACACCAAUUGCGUAGGCAGCUUACUAGACCGACACUGACGCUGAGGCACGAAAGCGUGGGUAGCGAACAGGAUUAGAUACCCUGGUAGUCC
RNAcentral lists this ribosomal RNA (229 nucleotides) under uncultured bacterium. RNAcentral describes it as "partial 16S ribosomal RNA". It matches the Rfam family "Bacterial small subunit ribosomal RNA", at positions 568 to 796 of the family's 1533-position model. The record is from RNAcentral.